UGGCUGACACCUUUCCGGCACACAGACAGGGCAGAGCUCAGUGCUGUCAAGUCGUCUGCUGGAUAUUCCACGUCACUCACAGUUCAGUGGUGCGCAAGAGAGGAUCCACUGACACCAGGUCCAGGAGAAAGCGAGAGAGCUCUGAGACACAACAUGGCAAACCUCUGCGAGACCCCCAGAGAGGACUACCCUGAGCUACACCCUUGGUCUCCAUGGAUACUCAGAGAUUGUGAGCCGUUAUUGAAGCAAUACACCAGUGUUUGAAGGUGAAGCAGGCAGCGCACGUCAGGCCGGGCAGAGUGGAUGGCAGCAUGCAGGUCAAAGACGCCAAGGUCCACCCCCAGUGCGGUGCUGCCCUGCUCAACCACCUCCCCCAGGACAUUCACCUUUACCUGGGGACACAUGCAUCAUCCUUCAGAGCCUGCGGGGGAUGUGGGUGCCCGUGUUUGUGUACGAAGGAACAAUAAAGAUGGCAGAGUGCUGUGUUUCAAAACAGCUGCAGGCCGUCGCCUCGCUGUACGACAAGCCGUCUGGAAGCACCAGGAAGUGAUCCUGCUCCUUACUCACGCGCAGCUGGAAAGACAGGCGAGGCACCUCAAUGCGCCGAGAAAUUCGACGAAAGACUGUGCAGCUGCAGCUGGACGCACGGAUAUACAAAGACGCAUCCGGAACAGAGAUGCAGUCAGGCUGACAGCCGGCUCUUCGUGGGGACAGGCGGGCUCACCGUGAGGUAUGUGCGGCUGAGGCGGGCCCAGCCGUAAAAGUCCAACAGGCGGUAAACGCUGGCCAGUUUGCAGCGCUGCAGGCCCUCCCCCUUCGCCAUGGAGCCAGGAUCCCUGCCUCGCAGGUCAUUGAUCGGCAUCACUGUCGUCAAGGCUACAGUGACCAGGGGACAGCCAGUGCAGAUGGUAGCCGCACGCCAUUAGGACCCACAAAGGAACAAGUAAAAAUAUUAGGUAUCAUGUUAAGCAAGUAAAUAGUUUAUCACUGUGCUUACAAGUAAAAACUGAAUUUGACUUGAUAUUGACUAGUCCUUUGCGUUGAGUCGAUGCGAAACAUCGACAUGAUGAGAUUAUUAUGUGCCAAGUGAUGCUAGGACACCACAAAGAGGUAAUUUUGGUGUCUCAGUGGGUCCUCAAUGGUACACAAUUUCACUUAGAAGCAGUGGUCUAUGCCCCUACAGCAGUAAAGAAGUGAUGGGCAAAAUGAUUCUUCUUGAACCAUUUGCUGUAUUUCUUGACUCCACUAGAUGGUGCUCUUGGUUUGCUUUGGGGCAUGCUCUGUGCCCAUUUUUGCAAAGAGAGCACCAUCUAGUGGGUUAAAAAAAUACAGCAAAUAGUUCAUUAAUUAAGCGUCAUUUUGUCCAUCACUACAGCAAAGUUUCUACAUAGCAUCGAGUGUGUUAAUUCACAUCUGCUAACAUGUAGCAUCAGUCGGGGUUUGUAUGCGGCAAUGAGACAACAGGAGACACCUACAACAUGGCGAGGUGGGGAGAGCCACAGAGGCACCAUAGGAAGACAGGAAGUCAGCAAUGCGCUGCAGGGCCCACAGGCUGGAGGAGCUGCUGUCCUUCUUCAUCUGAUCCUGGAUCAGGAUAUCCAGCUCUUCCCUGAAGGACUGACAAUGAGGAAGAGAAAGAAUGCUAUGAGCAGACAUAGAAUGUAAUCGAUGAGGGCAGUGUGAAUAUGAUUGAAAGCAUCUGUAGGACAUAGAUUACACAAGGCAACAACAAAAAAUUUUUUGUUUUGUUCCUGGCAAGACAAUGUAAUUUUCAUGUUGCUUGGGUCAAAAGCAACUAGUAACAAUCAUCCAUUGAUUCAAAACAUUGGUUUUGUCACUUCUGUCCAACAUUUUGUAUACAGUCAUGGCCAUAAGUUUAGCAUCACUGCAGCAAAACCUUGUUUGAGUCACUGCUAAUAAUUCUGUCGUUCAAUGGCAUUAAGUUAUGGUGCCAAGCUGUUGUAUAUAUAAAGUCUAAACAUACAGCGAUGUAAUUGCUGUAACAUCAGUCAGAUAUAUCGCUAGAUGUCGUUGACAUGGCUACCUACAAGAAUUCUUUCCCAAGCUGUCUGAGGCUAAAGUAAAAGCUGGUAUCUUUGUUGGACCACAGAUAAAGAAAAUAAUGGAGUGUCAGCAAUUUCCCAGCACUCUCACAGAGAUCCAAAAGGCAGCUUGGAGUAGCUUCAUCGCAGUAGUACGGGAAUUCCUCGGAAAUCAUAAGGCUGAGAAUUAUGUGUAUGUGGUAGAGACACUAGAAAGGAACUAUCAGGCUAUGGGGUGUAGGAUGUCGCUAAAGGUGCACAUCCUGGAUGCUCAUCUACAAACUUUUAAGGAGAACAUGAGAGCGUACUCAGAGGAACAAGGAGAAAGAUUCCACCAAGAUCUCAAGGAAUUUGAGCGUCGAUACCAAGGACAAUACAACAAGAAUAUGAUGGGGGACUACAUCUGGGGUCUUGUUUGUGACAGUAACUUAGUUUACAAUCAUCAGUCUAAAAGGACAUGUAAUUCUUAAGUUUAAUUGGACUAUAUGGACACAAGUGAGAUGAUUUUGUAAAAAAAAGUCUCUUGCAAAGGCUGUUAAUGUUAUCUAAUGUGUGUUCUGAACUAUUGAUUUCCUGACCACAAAAUCAAAGAUAUUUUGAAAUGAAA
Paramormyrops kingsleyae is the source of this 2649-nucleotide non-coding RNA. The record is from RefSeq and is a predicted model, not a curated record. NCBI's taxonomy places the organism in Eukaryota, Metazoa, Chordata, Actinopteri, Osteoglossiformes, Mormyridae.